Molecule: long non-coding RNA, 904 nt
Filed under: Stegodyphus dumicola
Lineage: Eukaryota; Metazoa; Arthropoda; Arachnida; Araneae; Eresidae
Description: uncharacterized LOC118193819, transcript variant X2
Source: RNAcentral
GUAAAGGGAAAGGAGAAUUUAUUAACAAAGAAGACUGAUGUGUACACCACAUGACUUCCUUGUACGGAAUAUUAAAUUAUACGCAUUUUUUCCUGCAUUUCAUUUAAACUUGUUUCCUCGAAUUUCAUUAGAAUACUUUACUUUUCCUCCACACGAUGAGAUUUCGAGAGAAAGAAGAUGCCGGGCAAAUUAUCCAUAAAACAGAUUGUCGGUCAAACACUUGAACAAAAAUUGGGGUACAAACUGGGGUGAUAAUGGAUACAUCAAAAUGGUCAGCAACAAAAACAAUCAAUAUAAAAUUGCAGCAAAGACCAGUUUCCCAAGAAUGUGAUUGUCGUCUGAAUAAGAAUAAUUUGAAAAUAAAUUUUAUCUACAUUAGCCUUCCUGAAAUCUUUAUAAGAAACUCCCAUUUACCAUGAAAAAUAAAAUAUCUACUAUACCUUCAAAGUUUUAUAUACUUUUAUUUUAAAGUGGAUCAACUUUGUGCAGAGGCAAUUUCUUAGGUUUAUUAAAGAUUUUUUAUCAGCAGAAAAUGAGUUUCGAUAGGUGGCUAUUGCCUAAGCUACAUAAAAGAAUGUGCUGUCAAUUUAAUGAAUUUGUGAAUAUUUGUAUAAGACAUCGUUUCUUUUUAAUAGUUUUGUGAAUGAACUCAACCUUGUACUCAACAUUGCUGCCAGGGAAAAAAAAAAAAAAAAAAAAAAUACGCAUAAAAGGAAAAUAAAUUGCUCUUAAUGACUUUCUAUGGGACAUAUUGACAUAAUCAAAUAUUGUUCCAAUAGAAAUUUUAAUUUAGAAAAAAUAUAAAUGCUUACAUACAAAAGUUUACAAAUCUUUUAACGAAACUUUGAAAGUGAAAAUAAGCAAUUCAAUUUAUGUUGAACACUAGAUAGCAGCACGAGGAAGU